UGCUGUUCCUCCCCUGAGCACAGUGACUCUCCAGUCAAAUUCCUACGCAGCCUUGAAGACCCAGCCCCACAGUCCUGUCCAUCCUAAAGCCAUGGGUGGUCUUUUGCUCCCUGCUUUGGUCACUGCUGAGCCAUCGUGCUCUGAGGAAGCCCAAACCAGCCAAUGCUGAGAGACCACAUAGAGAGAAACCAUGCAGACAAGAGCAGAAGCUGCAACCUAUCAUCUGCAUCAACAGAUUGGAGCACAAGUGAUGUAUUCAGUGCUGCAUGCCCGUGGUUAAGACCCUCAACUAAGCUGAUAGAGGGUGUGGCUACUGCCUUCCAAGUUAGCUUUCAUCCACUCCUUACAACCUGUGCGAUUCUAGUGUACCAGAAUUCAUUGUUUAUGUACCACACCCAGUUCUCCAUGCAGUACGUGCCCUCCAUAAUAUGGAAAGUGCCUGGGUACCUGCUUCUUUGGAUGAAGAUUUGAAUUGUUACCUCCCAGAGCCAAUAAUACAUCUCACCUCUCUGCAGACAAAGGCCUCAGUUUCCUCAUCUUGAAGUGGGGAUAAUGGUAGAGCCCAUCUCAUAAGGUGAUGGGAGAAUUAGAGAGACUACACAUUUUUCAACAUGAAGUAAUUAUUAAUUAGGAGUUGCUGUCAUCAUUGCCAUCAUUAUCACCAUCAUCAAUGUCAACAGCAGCAAUACCAUCAUCAUCAUCACCCUCAACACCAUCACUGUCAUCAUCAUCACCGUCAUCACCAUGACCAUCAUCAUCAUCAUCAUCGCCACCAUCAUUACCAUCAUGAUCACUAUCAUCUUUACUGCCAUCAUCAUUAUCAUUAUCAUCCAAUGAGGAGAAGACUUGCAAUGCCUGCCAUGGCCCUGGUGAGCUUCCCAGUAUAGUGAAAUCACCAUGAUUUGGGAUUCCAGUAGCCUUCCAAACCAUGCCACUCAUAAGAUAUGCAACUUCAGACAGGUCAUUAUAUUCUUCUGUUUGUGUCCUUAUUUGUAAAAUGAACACAAUGUUCAAGGGGAUGUUGGGGAUGGAUAAAGGAUGGGGAUCAUGCC
Molecule: long non-coding RNA, 1052 nt
Filed under: Mustela putorius furo (domestic ferret)
Lineage: Eukaryota; Metazoa; Chordata; Mammalia; Carnivora; Mustelidae
Description: lncRNA (ENSMPUG00000029653.1)
Source: RNAcentral